RNAcentral lists this ribosomal RNA (243 nucleotides) under uncultured bacterium. RNAcentral describes it as "partial 16S ribosomal RNA". It matches the Rfam family "Bacterial small subunit ribosomal RNA", at positions 15 to 257 of the family's 1533-position model. The record is from RNAcentral.
GAUCCUGGCUCAGGAUGAACGCUGACAGAAUGCUUAACACAUGCAAGUCGAUGGGGAAGGCUGAGCUUGCUCAGCUGGUAACCAUGGCGGACGGGUGAGUAACGCGUAAGGAACUUACCUGCGGGACUGGGAUAACGGAGGGAAACUUCUGACAAGACCGGAUAAAGUUACUGGGCAGCAUUGUUUGGUAAUGAAAGGAGACGCCUGCGGAGAGUCUUGCGUCCUAUUAGCUAGUUGGUUGGG